UAUUUUGCUGAGAUUAUAUAUACAUGAACUUUUUUUUUUCUUUUGUUUUAGGACGUGUAGAUGUCUGUUUUACCAGGACAAAAGGAAUACUGCCUAUUCGCAUUAUUUCCAAUAUAUUCAGAUUUCCUGUUUGCUUCCAGUCAUCCUCUAGCAUUGUGGAGAUUUCUGCAAAAAGAAGACUGUCUUGAAAUGACAGUCUCUGAUGAGAGUUUUCAAUAGUUCUUCAAGUGACACAAAGUGCUCCUAUGACAACCUUAGAAACUCCAACCCAUGCAGUUGUUCCUACAUAAGGAAUUUCCUUCUGUUGUGGUUUAACCUGGCGGGCAGGUAAGCACCACACAGCUGCUCACUCCCCUACCAGUGGGAGAAGGAGAGAAUCAGGAAAAAAAAAAAAAAAGGGUAAAAACUUGUGGGUUGAGAUAAAUACAGUUUAAUAGAUAAGACACAAAAAGAAGGGAAAUAAUAAUAAUAAUGAUAAAAGAAUAUACAAAGCAAGUGAUGCACAAGGCAGUUGCUCACCACCUGCUGACCAAUGUCCAACCCCUAUCUUGAGCAGUGCCCUCCCCAGUUUUAUUGUUCAGAAUGACACCAUGCAGUAUGGAAUAUCUGGUCAGUUUAGGUCAGCUGUCCAGGCUCUGUCCCUUCCCAUCUCUUGGUGCACCUCCAUCCUCCUUGUUGGCAGGGCGGUGCGAGAAGUUGUAAAGUCCUUGGCUCUGUGUAAGAACUACUCUGCAACAAUUUAAACAUCAGUCUGUUAUCAGCAUUUUC
Molecule: long non-coding RNA, 768 nt
Filed under: Anser brachyrhynchus (Pink-footed goose)
Lineage: Eukaryota; Metazoa; Chordata; Aves; Anseriformes; Anatidae
Description: lncRNA (ENSABRG00000006487.1)
Source: RNAcentral